This 509-nucleotide ribosomal RNA is filed under the name uncultured bacterium. RNAcentral's name for it is "bacterial SSU rRNA". It matches the Rfam family "Bacterial small subunit ribosomal RNA", at positions 29 to 518 of the family's 1533-position model. The record is from RNAcentral.
AUGAACGCUGGCGGCGUGCUUAACACAUGCAAGUCGAACGAAGCGUCUCGACCCGAAGAAGAGAAGUGCUGCACGGACCUAAUCAAUUGAGACGACUUAGUGGCGGACGGGUGAGUAACGCGUGGGUAACCUGCCGUAUGCAGGGGGACAACAGUUGGAAACGACUGCUAAUACCGCAUAAGCGCACGGUAUCGCAUGGUACAGUGUAGAAAAGAUUUAUCGGCAUACGAUGGACCCGCGUCUGAUUAGCUAGUUGGUGAGGUAACGGCCCACCAAGGCGACGAUCAGUAGCCGACCUGAGAGGGUGACCGGCCACAUUGGGACUGAGACACGGCCCAAACUCCUACGGGAGGCAGCAGUGGGGAAUAUUGCACAAUGGGCGAAAGCCUGAUGCAGCGAACCGCCGCGUGAGCGAUGAAGUUAUUUCGGUAUAGUAAAGCUCUAUCAGCAGGGAAGAUAAUGACGGUACCUGACUAAGAAGCUCCGGCUAAAUACGUGCCAGCCGCCGC